UAGGGUGCGAGCGUUGUCCGGAUUUAUUGGGCGUAAAGAGCUCGUAGGCGGCUCGUCGCGUCGACCGUGAAAACCCGCAGCUUAACUGCGGGCUUGCGGUUGAUACGGGCGGGCUAGAGUUCGGUAGGGGAGACUGGAAUUCCUGGUGCAGCGGUGAAAUGCGCAAAUAUCAGGAGGAACACCGGUGGCGAAGGCGGGUCUCUGGGCCGAUACUGACGCUGAGGAGCGAAAGCGUGGGGAGCGAACAGG
RNAcentral lists this ribosomal RNA (249 nucleotides) under uncultured bacterium. RNAcentral's name for it is "partial 16S ribosomal RNA". It matches the Rfam family "Bacterial small subunit ribosomal RNA", at positions 528 to 776 of the family's 1533-position model. The record is from RNAcentral.